Molecule: ribosomal RNA, 494 nt
Filed under: uncultured bacterium
Lineage: Bacteria
Description: partial 16S ribosomal RNA
Rfam family: Bacterial small subunit ribosomal RNA
Source: RNAcentral
GACGAACGCUGGCGGCGCGCUUAACACAUGCAAGUCGAACGGAAAGGCCUGCUUUCCCUUGUGGAUUGCGGGUACUCGAGUGGCGAACGGGUGAGUAACACGUGAGUGAUCUGCCCCCAACUUGGGUAUAAGCCUGGGAAACUGGGUCUAAUUCCCGAUAGGACUGCAGGGUGGUGCCUGUGGUGGAAAACGAUUUUCUCGUGGUUGGGGAUGAGCUCUCGGCCUAUCAGCUUGUUGGUGGGGUAAUGGCCUACCAAGGCGGCGACGGGUAGCCGGCCUGGGAGGGUGGACGGCCACAUUGGGACUGAGAUACGGCCCAGACUCCUACGGGAGGAAGCAGUGGGGAAUAUUGCACAAUGGGCGGAAGCCUGAUGCAGCGACGCCGCGUGGGGGAUGACGGCCUUCGGGUUGUAAACUCCUUUCGACCGCGAGGAAGCCGCCUGGUUGGAAGGGUGGUGACGGUAGUGGUAGAAGAAGCACCGGCUAACUACGUG